UUGAGAUGUGCAGUCAUGCCAGGCGAGCACCCUCAGGCUGUGUGCCAUCAGCCAGCAGGGACUGGUGAGGUGACUGAUUUCUCAGGCAGCCAGAAGCUGCUGGGACACCUUUGAGCACCUGUGUGUUAACAGCACCCUUGGGAAGGCGGGCUCCUUUGUGGGAGGAGGGAAUCCAGCACACUGCAGGAAAAUGCACGUGUGGAGGGUCUCUUCUGCACACCCUUUCCCACUGAGGAGCCCUCAGGGCUUGCACCUGCUGGCAAGCUGAUACAAGACAUUUGACACAAUUUAGGACAUAGAAGUGGUUUGCAGUGUCAGACCAUGCUCAGGCCCAGCCUCCCUCAGCCUGCAGGAUGCCAUUUCAGCUGCGCUUUGACCUACAAGCAGCACACAGCACUUACUGGCUCACCACAGGUUUAAAAAGAACCACAAAUGCUUCCAAGCCUUUUUCUGAUAAAACUGUAACAAAUCACACUGGUUUACCACAAAUAAGCAGGCAGGAGUGGUGGUGGCACCGGAGGCAAUGCGUGUGGAUGGAGAGGCCCUCAGGCCCUCGGAAGUUCAGACAUGGAGAGCUUGGGAGGAGGGAAGGAUCAACUCAUCCAAGCAAAAGCUUGCUGCUGUGCCCUGGAGAGCUUACUGCUCAACCCAUGAAUGUUUUAAACUUCUGGAGCUUGACAAACCACAUUCAGCCAGUGAUGUCCAUGAGCAUAAUCCUUGAGGCCUGACAGUUCCAACCAGUGGUUCCCCUCGUGAUGAACAAGUGUCUUUGCUGUUGAGUACACCCUGUUUUAGAGGACAAGGAGGAAUGGUCUGCAGCUCCUGUUGAGGUGGCAGCACCAUGCACAUAAAGUUGAGUUCCAGAUGCAAGAACAUGGCUCUGUGCCAUCUACACAGGAUGCAUGGGUUCAGUACUGUGGGCUGUGGCUUGACAAAGAGGUGUGUUCCACUCUGAGGUAUGGAAAGCUUUGAUGAACAUUCUUUGAUGACAAUGAAAAGAGCCAUGAGUUACAUGCAGAAAACAAAAAGGAACUCCUGGUUUUAUCUUCUCCUUUUCCCACACAAUGGACUGACUAAUUGGAAAAAGGAUUGCUGACUUCAGUCAAUCGUUUUCAGCUUGGCUGAAGGCUGGCCUUUUCAAGCCUCACGGAUGUGCAUAGCUUGGACUCUGUUCUACUUACACAGAACAAAGAGCUCCCUAAACAAAAGCAGCAACGUUUCAGAGUCCAAAUCUGGGUGUCCUUGAAACAUGCGUCUGAUCUCACCUCUCUGAACAAUGAGCCUCCUUACAAAGAAAGUGCCAACUGUUCUCCCAGAGUUCAUUUGAACUUCCUCCAGAUUCAGAAGAAAGAGAAGCAAGAAAUUCCACUUAGGAUGCCAGCAGGUCUCGUUUGUGUAGCUGGCAGCUCUGAGGGAUUCCAGAUGGCUUCAGCCCUUCUUUUGAACAUAUCUUUUGAUCUCAUUUAAGUUUCCUCCUGAUUUCACCUGCUCUGUGUUUACUGACUGAAGGAUACGCAGGUGGACAUAUUAACUUCACCAUAGGACACAAAUGGAUUUCAUUUUGACUUUGUGUGCAGGAGGGAGGUUGUGUAGUACAGCUAAUGCAGCUCCAGUUCCACUCCAUGAUUUAUGAUUCAGAAACCACAGUAUAAUUUUAACAGACAGAACAAACAAAUGGAAACCCUUGUCUGUCCCCAGUGUGUGUUUUCUAAAUGCUACGACGUGUACUCUUCAAUCUAGUGGUCACCUAGGAAGUCAAGAAAGAAAUGUGUUUAGAAUUCAUUUCUGUGAGCACAUAUUUUUUCCCAUUCUUUGUUUACAUAUUUAUAGAUCUCUUUAUUCACAAACAAGUUGUUUGUCAACCUUUUAAGCUAUGUUUAGCUAUUGGACAUUUCCAUAAAAAGUGGCAAAAAAUAAUUCAUUUCAGCAAAGACAGCAACCUAAUUACAAUUAACAUGGUAGCUGAAUCUGCAUGUUGUGGAAACAGGGAGAGCAGUCAGGAUCACACACUGGUUGACUGCUGACAGAAGAAGACAUCAGAAUGCAGCAGAAAAGUGAGAUUGAUGAGCUGGAUUCUCAUCAAGGAGGACAGGAAACGGGUCAGUCUGCAGAGACGCAGGACUUUGCUGGUUGGAUUAGCAUGUGCCUUCAUCUGAGAAGGGAUCUUCCUAGCCCAUUUAAACUGCUGAGUGUAGAGCACUUCUUAACUUCAGUUUUGGUAGAUACCCUUUCUGCCUGUUGGCUGUGUCAUGAUGAGACUCAGGUGUAAAAUUUUCUCCAUAGCGUGGUCUCUGUGGGGUGCACAAGGUAGAAGAAAUCAGUUUCACAUUUUACCAGGUGUGCUGCUUCUGUGAGAAGCUGCCAGAAGCACACAGCCAAUGCCAGCCAGCUCCAAGACAGACCUGCCACUGGCCAAGGCUGUACACAUCAGUGACAGUGGAAGAGUCUCUGGGGUAACAGGAAGAGGGAAAAGUCUCUCUUCGGGAGACAGAGAAGAGCAGAGUGAGAACAUG
Molecule: long non-coding RNA, 2513 nt
Organism: Passer domesticus (house sparrow)
Lineage: Eukaryota; Metazoa; Chordata; Aves; Passeriformes; Passeridae
Exons: 6
Source: RefSeq, a predicted model, not a curated record